This 1475-nucleotide unclassified non-coding RNA is filed under the name Amphibalanus amphitrite. Its description in RNAcentral is "zinc finger protein 239-like, transcript variant X12". The record is from RNAcentral. Lineage: Eukaryota; Metazoa; Arthropoda; Thecostraca; Balanomorpha; Balanidae.
GGCCGGGCGCGGGUUAAUAAAGCCACCGCUUAAUAAAUCCAAAACGCCUUGUCACCAAGGUGGAUUUAUUAAGCGGAUUCCACUGUAUAUGUGACAGUUCCAGUACACAGUGAGAAUUUCAUAGACACCCACGAUGAAUGCCUGUGUUACGGAGAGCCCUCGACUGUUGAUGGUGACGGAGGUGAAAGAAGAGGAACUAUCAGCAUCUGAAGAUGGUUCUUCAGUACACAAACAUCUGAUGGCUGAGGAAUUGCACGACAGUGAUAACAAUGCAGUAAAGAUCGAGCCUGAGCUGCCUUCAGGAAUUACUGACAGCCUGGGGAGCACUGUCAAGACAGAAGAUGACGACUGGGACGCCAAGUGGAGGGUGGAUGUACCCGACCGGGACCCGCUGGAGCUGGGGCCCGACACCAAGGUUUCCCUCGGCGAUGGUGUUGUCAAAGAGGAGUCCGAAGCUCCCAUUGCCGCCGUCGGCGAGGGAGACCAGGCAACAAGCUCAACAGGCGGACUAGCAACGGUCUGUUGUCCUCACUGCGACUUCAGGUGUCAGGGACAAAAUCGCCUGAACAUGCACGUCAAGGAUAGACACGGUCACAUCGGCAAGGACGACAAAUUGAAGUGUGAAUUGUGUAAAUACUCUACGGAGAAUUCCGACCACAUGGCAAACCACCGCCGCACACACACGGGAGAGCGGUCGUACCGUUGUGAUACAUGUAAUAAGUCGUUCUCUAGCUCAUCUAAUCUGACCCGCCACCGCUGUAUACACACGGGACGAUACAGUUGUGAUAUGUGUGACAAAACGUUUGCUGCAAAAGCUUAUCUGACCAUCCACCGCCGUACACACACAGGGGAACGGCCGUACCGAUGUGAUUUAUGUGGGAAGUCGUUUGCUAUACAGGGUACUCUUACCGCCCACCGUCGCACGCACACGGGAGAGCGGCCGUACCGAUGUGAUUUAUGUAAUAGGUCGUUCACUGAGUCAUCUAAGCUGACCCUCCAUCGCCGUACACACACGGGUGAGCAGCUGUACCGCUGUGAAAUAUGUAAUAAGCCGUUUUCUGAGCUGCGUGGUCUGACCGCCCACCGCCGCACACACACUGGAGAGCGGCCGUACCUCUGUGAUAUAUGUGGGAAGUCGUUUUCUGCGCCAGUAUAUCUGACUCGCCACCGCCACAGGCACUUGACGGAUGAUUUGUCGUAUCGCUGUGAUAAAUGUGGCAUGAUGUUUUCUCACCCGGGUGGUCUAGGUAUGCAUCGCCGUUUCUGUGUUCACUAACCAGAGACCAUACAAGUGUGGCGUGUGCUGUCUCGAUUUGUGAAAAUGAUUGGGGGGUGCCCAGAGCUAAGGCAGAACUCAUAUUCUAUUCUUUUAGAUAAAGCUGCAUUGUGUUUUCUGGGCCUUACUAUCAGUGCUAUACUAGUUCCCCGCAACGAGUCGUGCGUUAAUAGUGCGAAAAUAAACUAGAUGUUUCGAA